RNAcentral lists this ribosomal RNA (253 nucleotides) under uncultured bacterium. RNAcentral describes it as "partial 16S ribosomal RNA". It matches the Rfam family "Bacterial small subunit ribosomal RNA", at positions 524 to 776 of the family's 1533-position model. The record is from RNAcentral.
UACAGAGGUCCCAAGCGUUGUUCGGAUUCACUGGGCGUAAAGGGUGCGUAGGUGGCGAGGUAAGUCGGAUGUGAAAGCUCGGAGCUCAACUCCGAAAUGGCAUUGGAAACUACCUUGCUCGAGGGUUGGAGGGGGGACUGGAAUUCUCGGUGUAGCAGUGAAAUGCGUAGAUAUCGAGAGGAACACCAGUGGCGAAGGCGAGUCCCUGGACAACUCCUGACACUGAGGCACGAAAGCUGGGGGAGCGAACGGG